AGAGCGAACGCUGGCGGCAGGCUUAACACAUGCAAGUCGAGCGCCCCGCAAGGGGAGCGGCAGACGGGAGAGUAACACGUGGGAACGUACCUUUCAGUUCGGAACAACCCAGGGAAACUUGGGCUAAUACCGGAUACGCCCUUACGGGGAAAGAUUUAUCGCUGAAAGAUCGGCCCGCGUCUGAUUAGCUAGUUGGUGGGGUAACGGCCCACCAAGGCUACGAUCAGUAGCUGGUCUGAGAGGAUGAUCAGCCUCACUGGGACUGAGACACGGCCCAGACUCCUACGGGAGGCAGCAGUGGGGAAUAUUGGACAAUGGGCGCAAGCCUGAUCCAGCCAUGCCGCGUGGAUGAUGAAGGCCCUAGGGUUGUAAAGUCCUUUCGGCGGGGAAGAUAAUGACGGUACCGCAGAAGAAGCCCGGCUAACUUCGUGCCAGCAGCCGC
This 442-nucleotide ribosomal RNA is filed under the name uncultured bacterium. Its description in RNAcentral is "SSU rRNA". It matches the Rfam family "Bacterial small subunit ribosomal RNA", at positions 26 to 518 of the family's 1533-position model. The record is from RNAcentral.